Molecule: ribosomal RNA, 464 nt
Filed under: uncultured bacterium
Lineage: Bacteria
Description: partial 16S ribosomal RNA
Rfam family: Bacterial small subunit ribosomal RNA
Source: RNAcentral
CUACGGGGGGCAGCAGUGGGGAAUAUUGGACAAUGGGGGCAACCCUGAUCCAGCAAUGCCGCGUGUGUGAAGAAGGCCUGCGGGUUGUAAAGCACUUUCAGUAAGGAAGAAAACCACAGGGUUAAUACCCCUGUGGCUUGACAUUACUUACAGAAGAAGCACCGGCUAACUCCGUGCCAGCAGCCGCGGUAAUACGGAGGGUGCGAGCGUUAAUCGGAAUUCCUGGGCGUAAAGCGUGCGUAGGCGGUUUGGUCAGUCGGAUGUGAAAGCCCCGGGCUUAACCUGGGAAUUGCAUUCGAUACUGCCUGACUAGAGUAUGAUAGAGGAAAGUGGAAUUCCCGGUGUAGCGGUGAAAUGCGUAGAUAUCGGGAGGAACAUCAGUGGCGAAGGCGGCUUUCUGGAUUAAUACUGACGCUGAGGUACGAAAGCGUGGGGAGCAAACAGGAUUAGAUACCCCCGUAGUC